UGCGUAGGCGGGCUAAUAAGUCAGUGGUGAAAUCUUUCGGCUCAACCGAGAAACUGCCAUUGAUACUGUUAAUCUUGAGUUCGGUUGAGGUAGGCGGAAUGUGUAAUGUAGCGGUGAAAUGCUUAGAUAUUACACAGAACACCAAUUGCGUAGGCAGCUUACUAGACCGACACUGACGCUGAGGCACGAAAGCGUGGGGAGCGAACAGGAUUAGAUACCCUGGUAGUC
Molecule: ribosomal RNA, 228 nt
Filed under: uncultured bacterium
Lineage: Bacteria
Description: partial 16S ribosomal RNA
Rfam family: Bacterial small subunit ribosomal RNA
Source: RNAcentral